UAAUGACACUAGGCGAAGGAUAUCUUGGCUCUUGCAUCGAUGAAGAACGUAGUGAAAUGCAAUACUUAAGGUGAAUUAUAGAAUCCGGUGAACCAUCAAGUCUAUGAAUGCAAGUUAUGCCUGAAGCCAUUUGGCCUAGGGCACGCCUGCCUGGGUGUCACAC
RNAcentral lists this ribosomal RNA (163 nucleotides) under Lespedeza fordii. Its description in RNAcentral is "5.8S ribosomal RNA". It matches the Rfam family "5.8S ribosomal RNA". Rfam says of the family: 5.8S ribosomal RNA (5.8S rRNA) is a component of the large subunit of the eukaryotic ribosome. It is transcribed by RNA polymerase I as part of the 45S precursor that also contains 18S and 28S rRNA. Functionally, it is thought that 5.8S rRNA may be involved in ribosome translocation. The record is from RNAcentral. Lineage: Eukaryota; Viridiplantae; Streptophyta; Magnoliopsida; Fabales; Fabaceae.